Non-coding RNA from Bemisia tabaci, 586 nucleotides. The record is from RefSeq and is a predicted model, not a curated record. Lineage: Eukaryota; Metazoa; Arthropoda; Insecta; Hemiptera; Aleyrodidae.
UCGGAAAUUUUUCUUCGUCUUGACCUCACUCUUUAGCACCUCACCGGUGCAACCGGUGAUUUAGCAUUGUUGCCAGAUUAUGAUACGUGUUAAAAAGCUUCUUAUCAUACGUGUCGUGCUUUGUGCAAGUGAAACUACGGCUUUAUAUUUGUUUACUCAUUGUUUAUCUGGUUUAUCUACUAAAAGCCUAAAAGCUUUCUCAGUAUGAAUAUGAACUGUACUGUCCAUGUUUUGUUUUACCAACUGGAAAGUGACUUGCCUUGCAUACGUUCCUGAAAUUCAGGACGUAAAGUUUUCAAUUUCAUCUAAUUCAAUUAAGUAUAUUUCGGUUUUUACUUGGUGAUUUUGUCCGCAUUGUGUUUCGUAGCAAUCGGAAUUGUUGUUCCAGCUUUACAUAGACGAGAGGUUUCACUGAUAAAUGUACUCGUUAUCCUUUGAAAAAUCUCUAAAAUGGAUGCUGAGAAUACUCAACAGAUUGUACAGUUUGGGCUAAUGGUUCUAGAAGAAUUGCGAAAAGGGAAUUCUGCAGCGUCAAGUGGAGACCUUCACUUAAAAAGACUUUCCGUUAAUAAGUUAACUUUUCACU